AAUUUAGAAUAACUUUACAUGUGGCCUGUGCUGGAAACUAUAAUUUCUCUUUCUUGUGGCAACAAGAAGAAUAUCAAAUGUAUUCCUUGUCUUUAAAAGCUAUACAGAAAGAGUACUAGACUUGUGACCUGUGGUGUUGUUUUUGGUGUGUGUGUUUCCUUUGUUUGUUUUUUGUACCUGGAAGGGCUGCAUUAUAUUUAUAGCCCAUGAUGGCUGCCUUGAAUCAUGUCUCCCAGUGAUGAAGUGGGAAUGUUAUUUGGGGAAAAUGGAAACUUUUUCCUGAUCUGCCUCCAUGUAUUCAGAGAUUUACAGUAUCAUCUUGUUUCUACUGUUUCUCAUCUUGUUAGCAUUAUUCAAACAGUAAAUACACAGACUUUAUUCUUUGUCUAUCUGUCUGUCUUUCUGUCUUUCCCAUAAUUAGGAGUGGUUGUUAAGAACCUUGAAUUUCUGAGACAGAAACUUUGCACACACUGGUUAUAAUGACAGGAUGACUCCAGAAUCUGCCAGGGGGAGCGCUGUCUCACAAUGUAGGAGAUGUGUCCUGCCCAAGGGACCUGGGACAGCUUAGGCUGCGCUUGCCUGGACAGCCAAAAGGGAAGGAGGCGCGUGUGAAGAAGAGGCUGCUCCUCUCAUGCACGUGCCUGGAGCAUGAAGCAAGGGCUGCACCUGGGGAAAGCAGCGGCUGCUGUGGGUGACCUGCGUGCUGAGGACCGGAGUAAUAAGCAGCACAUUUUAAACAGCUGGAAGAAGAAAAACCAAAACCUGUAGCCUUCAAGGAGCAUCCAGCCCAGGGUCCCACGCUGCUGGAGGUGACACCCUGCCGAGGGUCAGCCUGGCCAGUCUGUGGCCCCAGGGCCAACUGCAGGUCUCACUGGAGCUGCCCUUCCCACGAUGGACCAGUACAGCUUUGCUAUCGCUCAGAGGAGUGAUUAGUUUCUUACUGGAAAUUGUCAUGAGAACAAACUAUUUUUAUAUGAGGAAAUAAAAAGAUUUGCUUUACCAAGGAAAAGCCUUGUGAUAUACUGAAGGACAACAGUGUCUUGCCUUAAGUUAGCUGAUAAGCUACUGCUAAUGUAAGUCUUCUUUGUUAAGUAAGAAAAAUUUAGAUCUUGAAUGUGCUGUUACAAAUGAUGCCCAUCAAGUGACAUAACUUCAGCCUCAAGGUAAAAAGGAUUACAUUUGGGCCUCUGUCUUAUUUUCUCCAAAUCUUUUCUGGUAUUUCUUGAACACUGAAUCUUCUGGAAUAUUUGUUUUAUUGGAAUUAAUUAAAAAAAAAAACCCAAAAAAAAAAAACCCACAACAAAACACCUACACUUGUCAUGUUGAUAUUUUCAAAUUGGACAUUGUGACAGUCUCUUGAUCCUUCUAAGCAGCCUUUAUAUGUUUGCUCUUCAGUUUGCUACUGUAUAUGGUCUCUAGAAAAGUCAUUUAAAAGGAAAAGCAUACAAACAUACAGACCAGCUGUUUUGCAAAGUUGUGUAAGGCUUGACAAGGCCCUGGUAAAAGUUGAAUUGCUUUGAGAAAGCAGUUGCACAAGAUAACCUCCACAGGUCCAUUGCGACAUAAAUUAUUCUAUGAUUAACUGUAAUAUUGUUCCCAAAACCCACAGUCCUGAAAUAUUGCAAUUUUUUAUACAAAAUUUAUGGCUCAUGGAAAAAAGGCCUUUAAUCUUAACCAUUGUCAUGUUUCUCACAUGACUAACUGCAAAAGAAAAAUUGUCAGUUGCAUCUGAUUUGUUACUUCAUUCUAUAGCAAAGGGUUGUUUUGUAGAAACCUAGAAGAGGCUCUUUAAUGAAAGAGCAUCAGGAUG
This is a long non-coding RNA of Columba livia (rock pigeon), 1810 nucleotides long. RefSeq lists it as uncharacterized. The record is from RefSeq and is a predicted model, not a curated record. Lineage: Eukaryota; Metazoa; Chordata; Aves; Columbiformes; Columbidae. The transcript is spliced from 3 exons.